This 70-nucleotide transfer RNA is filed under the name Scutigerella causeyae. Its description in RNAcentral is "tRNA-Phe". The record is from RNAcentral. Lineage: Eukaryota; Metazoa; Arthropoda; Symphyla; Scutigerellidae.
UUUAUUCUCUUAGCUUAUAAAGAGUAUAACAUUGAAGCUGUUAGGGAAAAUGGGAAUAUUUAUAGAAAAA